CCAGACUCCUACGGGAGGCAGCAGUGAGGAAUAUUGGUCAAUGGGCGCGAGCCUGAACCAGCCAAGUCGCGUGAGGGAGGACGGCCCUACGGGUUGUAAACCUCUUUUGCCGGGGAGCAACGGGCGUCACGUGUGGCGCCACUGAGAGUACCCGGAGAAAAAGCAUCGGCUAACUCCGUGCCAGCAGCCGCGGUAAUACGGAGGAUGCGAGCGUUAUCCGGAUUUAUUGGGUUUAAAGGGUGCGCAGGCGGCGUGUCAAGUCAGCGGUAAAAUGUCGGGGCUAAACCCCGGCCGGCCGUUGAAACUGGGGAUCUAGAGUGUGCGAGAGGUAUGCUGAAUGCGUGGUGUAGCGGUGAAAUGCAUAGAUAUCACGCAGAACCCCGAUUGCGAAGGCAGCAUACCGGUGCACAACUGACGCUCAGGCUCGAAAGCGUGGGUAUCGAACAGAAUUAGAUACCCUGGUAC
This 465-nucleotide ribosomal RNA is filed under the name uncultured bacterium. RNAcentral describes it as "bacterial SSU rRNA". It matches the Rfam family "Bacterial small subunit ribosomal RNA", at positions 331 to 793 of the family's 1533-position model. The record is from RNAcentral.